RNAcentral lists this small RNA (743 nucleotides) under Pongo abelii (Sumatran orangutan). Its description in RNAcentral is "processed transcript". Lineage: Eukaryota; Metazoa; Chordata; Mammalia; Primates; Hominidae. The record is from RNAcentral.
AGCCAUCAAAAAGGCUAUUACCUGUGGGGAAAAGGAAAAGCAAGAUCUCAUUAAGAGCCUUGCCAUGUUGAAGGACGGCUUCCGCACUGACAGGGGGUCUCACUCAGACCUGUGGUCCAGCAGCAGCUCUCUGGAGAGUUCGAGUUUCCCACUACCGAAACAGUACCUGGAUGUGAGCUCCCAGACAGACAUCUCGGGAAGCUUCAGCAUCAACAGCAACAAUCAGUUGGCAGAGAAGGUCAGAUUGCGCCUUCGAUAUGAAGAGGCUAAGAGAAGACUUCCCUGUAAAAGUGGCCAGGUAACUCCCAGCAAUUCGGAGCUUACACAGUACCAGCUCCCCCAGGCGUCCAGCAAAACAGCAAGACAUCUGUAUUUGGACAGCCACUUCUUGUCCUCUCUGAAGAGGACCACUCUGAACCUUGGAUCUGUUCCAUCCUGCAGGAAUGCCUGUCUUAGAUGGAUCGCCAACCUGAAGAUCCAGCUGGCCAAGCUUGACAGUGAGGCCUGGCCUGGGGUGCUGGACUCAGAGAGGGACCGUCUGAUCCUCAUCAACGAGAAGGAGGAGCUGCUGAAGGAGAUGCGCUUCAUCAGCCCCCGCAAGUGGACCCAGGGGGAGGUGGAGCAGCUGGAGAUGGCCCGGAAGCGGCUGGAAAAGGACCUGCAGGCAGCCCGGGACACCCAGAGCAAGGCGCUGACAGAGAGGUUAAAGUUAAACAGUAAGAGGAACCAGCUUGUGAGAGAAC